GACGAACGCUGGCGGCGUGCUUAACACAUGCAAGUCGAGCGGUAAGGCCCUUUCGGGGGUACACGAGCGGCGAACGGGUGAGUAACACGUGGGUGACCUGCCCUCAGCUCUGGGAUAAGCCUGGGAAACUGGGUCUAAUACUGGAUAUGACUCCACGGUGCAUGUCGUGGGGUGGAAAGCCUUGUGCGGCUGAGGAUGGGCCCGCGGCCUAUCAGCUCGUUGGUGGGGUGAUGGCCUACCAAGGCGACGACGGGUAGCCGGCCUGAGAGGGCGACCGGCCACACUGGGACUGAGACACGGCCCAGACUCCUACGGGAGGCAGCAGUGGGGAAUCCUGCGCAAUGGGCGAAAGCCUGACGCAGCGACGCCGCGUGAGGGA
This 379-nucleotide ribosomal RNA is filed under the name uncultured bacterium. RNAcentral's name for it is "bacterial SSU rRNA". It matches the Rfam family "Bacterial small subunit ribosomal RNA", at positions 28 to 408 of the family's 1533-position model. The record is from RNAcentral.